Molecule: transfer RNA, 91 nt
Filed under: Streptomyces sp. 6-11-2
Lineage: Bacteria; Bacillati; Actinomycetota; Actinomycetes; Kitasatosporales; Streptomycetaceae
Description: tRNA-Arg
Source: RNAcentral
GACAGUGUAGGUAAGGUGACGUUCCGUGCCCGCUCCGAUCGGGUGACGGCACUUCGCAGAUGCACCCGGGUGCCACCGCUGGCCCUGCCCC